UUUCCUCUGAACUAAUCACACCGCCAUCUUCCCAUGAUCCCCCCAGUGAUACUUUUUAUAAGCAUGAGAAAGUUUAAGGAAAAAUGAGUGGAGGACAUUUUGGGAAAAGGUGGGAAUGAACUUGAAAAAGUUAUUUGGAGCUGCAUUUUAUGGAGAGUUUGGGUAGAUCUUCACUAGAGUUCUAAAAAUGAAGUGAUGGAAGACCGGGUAAUUUUACAGAUGACUUGGAGGUAUCAUUUUCUCCAACUGUUUUAUUCUACAGCCAAGAAAAGGGUAAAGGAUUUAAGUAUUGGUGUUUAUUAAUGUCCUGCCAUUUUCCAGGAGGACUUUGAGGUAGCUUGGUUUAAGUGAUUUGUACCUAGCCAGUUUGCCACAUAGUUAAAACUUAGCUUUAAGGAGGUUAGUGUAUAGUCACUGUAUCAGACAGCUAAGAGGCUGUGGAUAAAUUGGCUGUGACAAGCUUAUGGGCAGAGAAAAAUCUUAACUCUCAACAAUGCCUUAACAUAUAAGUUGCAGUAUUUGUUUUGUAACUGACAAGGAAAUGGCAGAGGACAAGCCCAGUGUUUUUUCUCUGUUUAAUGCUGAUAUGACUGCAUUUGGAAUGUGUAGUACUAGUCACACUUUUCAAGAAUAUUGUAAUCUCAAAAGUUUAAGAUUAGAGGCUUGGAAUUAUUUUGUCUAAAAUGAUUGACUUUUUUCUAGAGAAGACGACCAGCAAGCUUGUAGAAAACUGGGCCAGAAAAUGAACAAAUAGUUCAUUGGGAAAAUGCAAAGGGUUCUUAACCACCUGAAGAGAUGUUCAACCUCACUCAUAAUAAGAAAAAUGAAAAUUAAAAGUAUAUGGAGUUACCAUUUCUCACCUGUUGUAUUCAACAUUACAAGUCACUUUGUUGACAGUUGCGAGGAAACACGCUGUCCUGCAUUACCAAUGGGCAUUGCAUCAGUCCAUUGCUGACCUCCAGUCCCUGUGGAGGACUAUAAGUAUUGGCUCAAGAGAAAGGAGAUAUAAAUAUUAAUAAAAUCUGUAUAGUCCUGUUUUUAAUUAUCAUUAUAAACUUGAUAUUUAAUAAAAAUAGACAUAUUCAGCAGGAAAAGGACGAGAUAAACCUACAGCAUCUUGUCAUACCAGAAAGCAAGGAAGCUGUCAAGGACUGUUUAGUUGGCUCUCAAAAGGACUCAUCAGCCAAUUGGAAGAUAGCACAAUUUGAAUAGCCAUAUAGAAAAUAAUAACUGCAAUGGGUCGAAACACUGACUAUGCUUAAAUACAUGAGUUCAGAAUGAUAAUAAAGAUACAUAUGCCAUACAGAAACCAAAGCACUAAUUACCACUGGAGGAUGCUAGCAAGCUAUUUCAGUAUUUGAAAACUGGUAAAUAAACAGAAAAGAAUUCAAUAUUUUGUAAAGUUCCCAUACAAACUGUACCUUGGGGCAGGCAAGCAGUAAAUGAGGAAUACUCUUUAAAAAAUAUAUUCCAUUUAAUAAGUGAAAAAGGACUGAUGGAAUUACAAUAUCACCAAUCUGUAACUUCUAAUGAGUCAAUGGAGAUAAUAAGCAUUGGUCCUGCUAUUGAUCAGCUGCUGAAAGCACACAGACACAUUCUUAACAGUACAUGCUUUCAGGUGAAGGAACACACUGCUACCCAUAGAGGGCGUUUACCAGAAAAAUCAAAUCUAAAUCUGAUCAAGCAUCUCCCAGUUUACAGGAAAUAGGACAGAAGAUCAUGUUGAAUGACACCAAAGGAUGCAAUUAGCAUGUUUCUUCAAUAAGUUGCAAAGAAAAAGGGGAACCUAUGGAGUAAGAGGUACUUAGGAGGUGCCAACCAGUCACAAUGUGUGUACCUCACUUGCAUCUUGAAGCAAAGAAAUGUAAAACUUGAAAAAAAAAAGUAGAACUUAUGGUACAAUAAAAAAUUUAAAUACUGACUGGUUAUUUAAUGGUAUUAAAGAAUUAUUGUUUGUGAAAAUGGCAUACUGCAGCCAUGUUUAAUUUCUUUUAUUGAGAUAUAAUUGGCACAACAUACAAGUUUCAGGUGUAAACAUAAUAAUACAAUAUUUGUACAUAUGUUUAAUUUUUUAGAGUGGUUCUAUAAACACCUACUAAAAUAAUUACAAUGAAAUGGCAUGAUGUUUGGUAUUUGCUUCAAAAUAAUAUAAAGAGGGAAUAUAAAUGAAAUAGGAUUGACUGUGAAUUGUUAAUUAUUGGAAUUGAGUAACUGGUAUGUUCAUUAUAUUGUUCCAUUCAA
Molecule: long non-coding RNA, 2241 nt
Organism: Manis javanica (Malayan pangolin)
Lineage: Eukaryota; Metazoa; Chordata; Mammalia; Pholidota; Manidae
Source: RefSeq, a predicted model, not a curated record